GUCGCCUCCUAAAAGGUAACGGAGGCGCUCAAAGGUUCCCUCAGAAUGGUUGGAAAUCAUUCAUAGAGUGUAAAGGCAUAAGGGAGCUUGACUGCGAGACCUACAAGUCGAGCAGGGUCGAAAGACGGACUUAGUGAUCCGGUGGUUCCGCAUGGAAGGGCCAUCGCUCAACGGAUAAAAGCUACCCCGGGGAUAACAGGCUUAUCUCCCCCAAGAGUUCACAUCGACGGGGAGGUUUGGCACCUCGAUGUCGGCUCAUCGCAUCCUGGGGCUGUAGUCGGUCCCAAGGGUUGGGCUGUUCGCCCAUUAAAGCGGUACGCGAGCUGGGUUCAGAACGUCGUGAGACAGUUCGGUCCCUAUCCGUCGUGGGCGUAGGAAAUUUGAGAGGAGCUGUCCUUAGUACGAGAGGACCGGGAUGGACAUACCUCUGGUGUACCAGUUGUCGUGCCAACGGCAUAGCUGGGUAGCUAUGUGUGGACGGGAUAAGUGCUGAAAGCAUCUAAGCAUGAAGCCCCCCUCAAGAUGAGA
RNAcentral lists this ribosomal RNA (528 nucleotides) under Staphylococcus aureus. RNAcentral describes it as "partial 23S ribosomal RNA". It matches the Rfam family "Bacterial large subunit ribosomal RNA", at positions 2282 to 2809 of the family's 2925-position model. Lineage: Bacteria; Bacillati; Bacillota; Bacilli; Caryophanales; Staphylococcaceae. The record is from RNAcentral.